Molecule: ribosomal RNA, 403 nt
Filed under: Papilio macilentus macilentus
Lineage: Eukaryota; Metazoa; Arthropoda; Insecta; Lepidoptera; Papilionidae
Description: partial 16S ribosomal RNA
Source: RNAcentral
GGGCUGCAGUAUUUUGACUGUACAAAGGUAGCAUAAUCAAUAGUCUCUUAAUUGGUGACUUGUAUGAAAGAUUGGAUGAGAUAUAUACUGUCUCUAAUUAAUUUAUAGAAAUUAAUUUUUUAGUAAAAAAGCUAAAAUAAUUUUAAAAGACGAGAAGACCCUAUAGAGUUUAAUAGUUUAUUUAAUUAUUAUUAAUAUAUAAUUUUUAAAAUUAAAAUUAAAUGAAUUAUUUUGUUGGGGUGAUAGAAAAAUUAAAUUAACUUUUUUUAAUUAUUAACAUUAAUUUAUGAUUAAAUGAUCCAUUUAUAAUGAUUAAAAGAAAAAAUUACCUUAGGGAUAACAGCGUAAUUUUUUUUUUUAGUUCAAAUAGGAAAAAAAGUUUGCGACCUCGAUGUUGGAUUAA